This 467-nucleotide ribosomal RNA is filed under the name uncultured bacterium. RNAcentral's name for it is "partial 16S ribosomal RNA". It matches the Rfam family "Bacterial small subunit ribosomal RNA", at positions 29 to 507 of the family's 1533-position model. The record is from RNAcentral.
ACGCACGCUGGCGGCGUGCUUCACCCAUGCCAGUUGCACGGAAAGGCCCUGCUUUUGUGGGGUGCUCGAGUGGCGAACGGGUGAGUAACACGUGAGUAACCUGCCCUUGACUUUGGGAUAACUUCAGGAAACUGGGGCUAAUACCGGAUAGGAGCUCCUGCUGCAUGGUGGGGGUUGGAAAGUUUCGGCGGUUGGGGAUGGACUCGCGGCUUAUCAGCUUGUUGGUGGGGUAGUGGCUUACCAAGGCUUUGACGGGUAGCCGGCCUGAGAGGGUGACCGGCCACAUUGGGACUGAGAUACGGCCCAGACUCCUACGGGAGGCAGCAGUGGGGAAUAUUGCACAAUGGGCGGAAGCCUGAUGCAGCAACGCCGCGUGCGGGAUGACGGCCUUCGGGUUGUAAACCGCUUUCGCCUGUGACGAAGCGUGAGUGACGGUAAUGGGUAAAGAAGCACCGGCUAACUACGUG